AGUUCGCCUUCCGUGGUCCGACUCCUUCGCGUUUCGCGGCGGCGACAGUUCGCCUUCUUCUUCGCCUUGUGUUUUUCCACUUCCGCGUGUCCCUGUUUGUCUGUGUGUAUGUGUGCGCCCAAUCCACCCCUACCGUUUUAUAUUUUGUUUUCUUUUUUCCUCUCUUCUUACAUUUCUUGUGCCAGCACUGCCAGCAAGCUAGUGUGCCGUUGUUGUCGUCGGCGUGCGUGGCCUCGAGCCUCGUCGUGUGUUAGUGGAA
Molecule: long non-coding RNA, 259 nt
Filed under: Polistes fuscatus (common paper wasp)
Lineage: Eukaryota; Metazoa; Arthropoda; Insecta; Hymenoptera; Vespidae
Description: uncharacterized LOC122525013
Source: RNAcentral